UACGAAGGGUGCAAGCGUUACUCGGAAUUACUGGGCGUAAAGGGCUCGUAGGCGGCCAACUAAGUCAGACGUGAAAUCCCUCGGCUUAACCGGGGAACUGCGUCUGAUACUGGAUGGCUAGAGGUUGGGAGAGGGAUGCGGAAUUCCAGGUGUAGCGGUGAAAUGCGUAGAUAUCUGGAGGAACACCGGUGGCGAAGGCGGCAUCCUGGAACAAUUCUGACGCUGAGGAGCGAAAGCCAGGGGAGCAAACGGG
RNAcentral lists this ribosomal RNA (253 nucleotides) under uncultured bacterium. RNAcentral's name for it is "partial 16S ribosomal RNA". It matches the Rfam family "Bacterial small subunit ribosomal RNA", at positions 524 to 776 of the family's 1533-position model. The record is from RNAcentral.